AGGUGCUGAACAGACACUCUCCUCCACAGAACGAAAACAAGAGGAAAUUUGUUUGACACCCUGUUGAUCAAAUUAAGGGAGAAACCAGAACACGGUUCUGAUAUGAAUUCAGUCCGUUUUUUCCUUAGAGGGACAUGGGAUCCAACGAAAAUCAUUUCUUUUGGGAAGCAGGGUUCUCAGUCCACCCAGUUCUUUCCCCAACUUUCAGCCUGAUUCCCCUCUGCCUCCCUGUGAUUGCUUGAAUGAGAAAUGCCCCCCAAAGGCUCAGGCUUGCAGUUAAAGAUGUGAUCUCUCAGCUUCCUGCUCAGGCUGCCUGCUGCGGAGCCUCCCAAGUCAGAUGCACUUGCGCUCUGGAAUCAUAAACCCCAGGAAACUCCUUCUUCCUGAAGUUGCCUUUGGGAGCUGCAAGUCAAAACUACAGUAAGAUACUACUUUGUACCCAUCAACUAUUACUUUAAAACAAAUCAAAAUACCAAAUGUUGGCACACAUAUGAAGAAAUUGGAACUUGAGCUCGCUGGUAGAUCAUAAGACAGUAUAUCUACUACUAAGAACAGCCCCCCUUACGGGAAUGAGACCAGGGCAUGGACAUCAAGGACCCCCAACCUCUCUUCACUGGACAUCUGGAAAAAUGGACACCCAACCACCGGACCAGUUCAUGUGAAUGCAACGUCACCACAGGCCUAGAACCCAGGGUGGUGACUAAAUGGCUUUCCCACAAGCUACCAUGCUGCCAUCCUACCCCACUCUCCUCCACCUCAGCUCGGGCUCUACCGUCACCUAACCCAGGCUCUCCUCCAACCCUUAAAACCACUCAUCACAGCACCCAGUCCCAUCCGUUCCCCGCCACUGUUGCCGAGAGACGAAGCAAAGAAGCCUUCCUUACUCUGCCUACCUGGAGCUCCCUCAGCCAUUCCAAACCUUGAAAGUUGGGGGAAUGAAAAGACAUCUCUUUGGAAGUUCCAGGCUGCUGGUGCUGUGAUGACGGAAAAGAGGAGGCUCCUGGAAAUAUAAUAAACAUGUCGCAAAGCUCUCUGGUAAUGGUUAUGGCAAGGACAACGCAGGAGCUUUUCAGCACCAUGUACCUUCUUCAUAGAGCCUCAGGAAAGGGGCUGGAGUCAAGGCUGCCACUCUGAGAACAAGGUCCCCCCUGGACCUAGGGACUCGUUAACAGUUGAUUAUCCCAUUUGGAAACUCAUAGUCUGUACAUUUACCAGGAAGUGGGGAGAAAGAGCAAAGACAUUUAAGAAAUACUUAACUCUGUAAUAAUCACUAGCCUAGAGGCUUUUAUUCCUGUAAUAAAAGUCCAGUAA
This is a long non-coding RNA of Peromyscus californicus insignis, 1311 nucleotides long. RefSeq lists it as uncharacterized. The transcript has 6 exons. The record is from RefSeq and is a predicted model, not a curated record. NCBI's taxonomy places the organism in Eukaryota, Metazoa, Chordata, Mammalia, Rodentia, Cricetidae.